CAUGUGGUUUAAUUCGAUGAUACGCGAGGAACCUUACCUGGGCUCAAAUGUAUGUUGACGUAUUCUGAAAGGGAUACUUCUUCGGACAAUAUACAAGGUGCUGCAUGGUUGUCGUCAGCUCGUGCCGUGAGGUGUCGGGUUAAGUCCCAUAACGAGCGCAACCCCCUAUCAUUAGUUGCCAUCAGGUCAAGCUGGGGACUCUAAUGAAACUGCCUACGCAAGUAGUGAGGAAGGUGGGGAUGACGUCAAAUCAGCACGGCCCUUACGUCCAGGGCUACACACGUGCUACAAUGGUCGGUACAAAGGGUUGCCAAGCCGCGAGGUGGAGCUAAUCCCAUAAAACCGAUCGUAGUCCGGAUCGCAGUCUGCAACUCGACUGCGUGAAGUCGGAAUCGCUAGUAAUCGUGAAUCAGAAUGUCACGGUGAAUACGUUCCCGGGCCUU
This 443-nucleotide ribosomal RNA is filed under the name uncultured Pseudomonas sp. RNAcentral's name for it is "bacterial SSU rRNA". It matches the Rfam family "Bacterial small subunit ribosomal RNA", at positions 938 to 1382 of the family's 1533-position model. Lineage: Bacteria; Pseudomonadati; Pseudomonadota; Gammaproteobacteria; Pseudomonadales; Pseudomonadaceae. The record is from RNAcentral.